RNAcentral lists this ribosomal RNA (460 nucleotides) under uncultured bacterium. Its description in RNAcentral is "partial 16S ribosomal RNA". It matches the Rfam family "Bacterial small subunit ribosomal RNA", at positions 338 to 795 of the family's 1533-position model. The record is from RNAcentral.
CCUACGGGUGGCAGCAGUGAGGAAUAUUGGUCAAUGGGCGCUAGCCUGAACCAGCCAAGUAGCGUGAAGGAUGACGGCCCUAUGGGUUGUAAACUUCUUUUAUAUGGGAAUAAAGUGCAGUAUGUAUACUGCUUUGCAUGUACCUUAUGAAUAAGGAUCGGCUAACUCCGUGCCAGCAGCCGCGGUAAUACGGAGGAUCCGAGCGUUAUCCGGAUUUAUUGGGUUUAAAGGGUGCGUAGGCGGGUAUUUAAGUCAGUGGUGAAAGUUUGGGGCUCAACCCUAAAAUUGCAGUUGAAACUGGCAUUCUUGAGUAGAGUAGAGGUAGGCGGAAUGCGUGGUGUAGCGGUGAAAUGCAUAGAUAUCACGCAGAACUCCGAUUGCGAAGGCAGCCUGCUGGACUGUAACUGACGCUGAGGCUCGAAAGUGUGGGUAUCAAACAGGAUUAGAUACCCGAGUAGUC